UACGGAGGGUGCGAGCGUUGUUCGGAAUUACUGGGCGUAAAGCGCACGUAGGCGGCUUUGUAAGUUAGAGGUGAAAGCCCGGGGCUCAACUCCGGAAUUGCCUUUAAGACUGCAUCGCUAGAAUUGUGGAGAGGUAAGUGGAAUUCCGAGUGUAGAGGUGAAAUUCGUAGAUAUUCGGAAGAACACCAGUGGCGAAGGCGACUUACUGGACACAUAUUGACGCUGAGGUGCGAAAGCGUGGGAGCAAACAGG
Molecule: ribosomal RNA, 252 nt
Filed under: uncultured bacterium
Lineage: Bacteria
Description: partial 16S ribosomal RNA
Rfam family: Bacterial small subunit ribosomal RNA
Source: RNAcentral